UCCGUUGGUAAAUUGGCAAGAUGUCGGCAUAGCUGACGUUGAAAAGCGAUUUUGAAGAGCGCUAUGCUGCAUCUAGUCAGUUGUUCAAUGGA
This is a non-coding RNA of Drosophila melanogaster (fruit fly), 92 nucleotides long. Its record names the gene mir-31a. NCBI's taxonomy places the organism in Eukaryota, Metazoa, Arthropoda, Insecta, Diptera, Drosophilidae. The record is from Ensembl.